Molecule: long non-coding RNA, 1410 nt
Organism: Pangasianodon hypophthalmus (striped catfish)
Lineage: Eukaryota; Metazoa; Chordata; Actinopteri; Siluriformes; Pangasiidae
Exons: 3
Source: RefSeq, a predicted model, not a curated record
AAUCAAGCAAUUUUAAUUUGUUCACAUGGUACACUCAAACUUACACGUGCUCUGACCGGAACAGACAAGCUUACAGAUACACCAAAGUUGUAAUACGUGAAUAAAGAAAUUGUUACUGGAAUUUGCAUGAACUUGUUUUUUAUGAUCUGAUUUAACCAUGAAUAAGGGCCUGUGUACCUUGCAUCAUUCUCAAUUCGCGGUUUGAUCCUGAGCUCAGUUUGCUGAGAGGAGCGAAGGCUAGCCCAUCCUGUCUGAUCCACAGAAGAGCUACUGUAGCACAAAUUGCUGAAAAGGUUAAUGCUGGCUAUGACAGAAAGGUGUCAGAACACACAGUGCAUCGCAGCUUGGUGUGUAAGGUGUUGCGUAGCUGCAGACUGUUCAGUGUGUCCAUGCUGACCCCUGUCCACUGCCAGAAGUGCCUAUAAUGGGCACAUGAGCAUCAGAACUGGACCAUGGAGCAAUGGAAGAAGGUGGCCUGGUCUGACGAAUUACAUUUUCUUUUACAUCAUGUGGACGGCCGGGUGCAGGUGCGUUGCUUACCUGAGGAAGAGAUGGCACCAGGAUGCACUAUGGGAAGAAAGCAAGCUGGUGGAGGCAGUGUGAUGCUCUGGGCAGUGUUCUGCUGGGAAACCUUGGGUUCUGGCAUUCAUGUGGAUAUUACUUUGACACGUACCACCUACCUAAACAUUGUUGCAGAUCAAGUACACCACUUGUGGGAUGUGCUGGACAAACAAGUCUGAUCUGUGGAGGCCCCACCUCGCAACUUACAGGACUUGGAGGAUCUGCUGCUAACGUCUUGGUGUCAGAUACCACAGCACACCUUCAGAGGUCUUCGGUGUAUACGCGGGAGUUUGAUUCAGUUAUUUAGCACUACAUGCAUUUCAAUGAGGCUUCCCAAAUAUGAUUGGUGCCAUAGACUGCACACAAAUUCCAAUCAAGGCCCCAAUGAAGGUGAUUUUGUGAACAGAAAGAAGGUUUACAGUAUAAACAUGCAGGGGCUUACUUCUUGACUCCAUUCCCUGACUCAAACCCCGGUCAACAAACCUGUUACAAUGCAGCUCCAGCCAUGACAAGGGCACGCAUUGAAAUGACAAUCAGCCAACUGAAGGGAAGAUUUCAGUGUGUGAAAAGGCUGAAGGUUGCACCUGACAGGGCCUGCGACAUUAUCGUUGCAUGCUCUGUACUACACAACACUGCCACCAUCAGAAAAGAGACGACCCCUGUGGUGGAGGCGCAGCCUGAUGAUGACCUCCAGCCAGUGCACUUGGACCAUCCUAGUGGAAGAGCUGCAGGGGAUAGAACUGUGCAACACCAUUUCUGAUUGACCUUUUUGAAUAAAGAAAAAACAUAAACAUGCUUUGACCCAUAUGCAUUUUAUUCUCUUCCCUCCCAGUCAAAGGCAGCAUUCAG